RNAcentral lists this long non-coding RNA (429 nucleotides) under Capsella rubella. RNAcentral's name for it is "long non-coding RNA (CRUB_LNC000311)". The record is from RNAcentral. Lineage: Eukaryota; Viridiplantae; Streptophyta; Magnoliopsida; Brassicales; Brassicaceae.
GUCCCAUCAAUUACUAUCACCUUCCGUAGAUAUUUAUAUCCAGAUAUCGAUGCACCGAAAGCGAAGAACGGAUACUUGAAAAGUACAUUCGCAUCUUUGUCCAUCGAGGUGUGCAUGUCCGUUAUUGUUCCUGGAUUCGUUGUCUUCAGCAAGUGCAUGUACGUGGACAGAGGACAUUCGUCACUGUUGAAAACUGCCAUAUUAACAUAAGGAUCCCAAUCAGGCGGGUAUUCUUCGUUUAUCCGGUCUGUCCACUCGUCAAAAUCAUAAUCUGAUUCCUCUCCCGAACCAAGAGAUGUUUGUCUUGAUGGAUCAUUCGCUUCAUCAAAUAGGUCCCCCAACAUGUCCACUGCAUCUUGUUCCUCCACCUCCUCCUCUCUUAUUCUUUUAUGUUCCUUACCCCUUUCGCCAACGUCAGUUUGUGCCUUG